Molecule: ribosomal RNA, 253 nt
Filed under: uncultured bacterium
Lineage: Bacteria
Description: partial 16S ribosomal RNA
Rfam family: Bacterial small subunit ribosomal RNA
Source: RNAcentral
UAGGAAGGGGGCUAGCGUUGUUCGGAUUUACUGGGCGUAAAGCGCACGUAGGCGGAUCGAUCAGUCAGGGGUGAAAUCCCAGAGCUCAACUCUGGAACUGCCUUUGAUACUGUCGAUCUGGAGUAUGGAAGAGGUGAGUGGAAUUCCGAGUGUAGAGGUGAAAUUCGUAGAUAUUCGGAGGAACACCAGUGGCGAAGGCGGCUCACUGGUCCAUUACUGACGCUGAGGUGCGAAAGCGUGGGGAGCAAACAGG